CUACAACCAAACAUCAAGCUGUUGGAUCAUUUUGAAUCCAUAUAAAAGGAGAAAACCAGAUUGUUCAUCUCUAUGCAAGACUGAGAAUAAAUAUGCAGUGGAAUCUGUUUCUUCUUACUGUGAUGGCUCAGAAUUAUCUGAUGGACUGUCAGCUCUAUGAGUUUCACUACAUUAAAGAGGAAAAGAACUGGACUGAAGCUCAGCAGUACUGCAGAGAGAAUCACACUGACCUGGCCACAGCGACUAACAUGAAGGA
Poecilia reticulata (guppy) is the source of this 256-nucleotide non-coding RNA. NCBI's taxonomy places the organism in Eukaryota, Metazoa, Chordata, Actinopteri, Cyprinodontiformes, Poeciliidae. The record is from RefSeq and is a predicted model, not a curated record.